Molecule: ribosomal RNA, 451 nt
Filed under: uncultured bacterium
Lineage: Bacteria
Description: partial 16S ribosomal RNA
Rfam family: Bacterial small subunit ribosomal RNA
Source: RNAcentral
GUGGGGAAUAUUGCGCAAUGGGGGAAACCCUGACGCAGCGACGCCGUGUGAGGGAAGAAGGCUUUCGGGUCGUAAACCUCUGUCAGAAAGGAAGAACCUCCCAUAUCCGAAUAGGGUGUGGGACUGACGGUACUUUCAAAGGAAGCACCGGCUAACUCCGUGCCAGCAGCCGCGGUAAUACGGAGGGUGCUAGCGUUAAUCGGAAUCACUGGGCGUAAAGCGCGCGUAGGCCGCUUCUUAAGUCGGACGUGAAAGCCCUCGGCUCAACCGGGGAACUGCGUUCGAUACUGGGAGGCUUGAGUCCUGGAGAGGGUGGCGGAAUUCCGGGUGUAGGAGUGAAAUCCGUAGAUAUCCGGAGGAACACCGGUGGCGAAGGCGGCCACCUGGACAGGUACUGACGCUGAGGCGCGAAAGCGUGGGGAGCAAACAGGAUUAGAUACCCCUGUAGUCC